AAGUCGAACGCAGUAGCAAUACUGAGUGGCGAACGGGUGAGUAUAAUGUAGGUAUCUGCCCUUUGGUUUGGAAUAACACGAGGAAACUUGUGCUAAUACCGGAUAAGCCUUCACAGGGAAAGCUUUAGCGCCAAAGGAUGAGCCUGCACUUGAUUAGCUAGUUGGUAAGGUAAUGGCUUACCAAGGCUACGAUCAAUAGCUGAUCUGAGAGGAUGAUCAGCCACAUUGGGACUGAGACACGGCCCAGACUCCUACGGGAGGCAGCAGUGGGGAAUCUUGCACAAUGGGGGAAACCCUGAUGCAGCGAUGCCGCGUGAGUGAAGAAGGCCUUUGGGUUGUAAAGCUCUUUCGUCGGGGAAGAAAAUGACUGUACCCGAAUAAGAAGGUCCGGCUAACUUCGUGCCAGCAGCCGCGGUAAUACGAAGGGACCUAGCGUAGUUCGGAAUUACUGGGCUUAAAGAGCUCGUAGGUGGUUAGAAAAGUUAGUGGUGAAAUCCCAAGGCUUAACCUUGGAACUGCCACUAAAACUUUUUAACUAGAGUAUGAUAGAGGUAAGCGGAAUUUCUAGUGUAGAGGUGAAAUUCGUAGAUAUUAGAAAGAACACCAAUUGCGAAGGCAGCUUUCUGGAUCAUUACUGACACUGAGGAGCGAAAGCAUGGGUAGCGAAGAGGAUUAGAUACCCUCGUAGUCCAUGCCGUAAACGAUGUGUGCUAGACGUUGGAAAUUUAUUUUUCAGUGUCGCAGCAAAAGCGUUAAGCACACCGCCUGGGGAGUACGACCGCAAGGUUAAAACUCAAAUGAAUUGACGGGGACCCGCACAAGUAGUGG
RNAcentral lists this ribosomal RNA (828 nucleotides) under uncultured marine bacterium. RNAcentral's name for it is "bacterial SSU rRNA". It matches the Rfam family "Bacterial small subunit ribosomal RNA", at positions 59 to 935 of the family's 1533-position model. The record is from RNAcentral.